Molecule: transfer RNA, 72 nt
Filed under: Nanobdellota archaeon
Lineage: Archaea; Nanobdellati; Nanobdellota
Description: tRNA-Tyr
Rfam family: tRNA
About the family: Transfer RNA (tRNA) molecules are approximately 80 nucleotides in length. Their secondary structure includes four short double-helical elements and three loops (D, anti-codon, and T loops).
Source: RNAcentral
CCCGCCCUAGCUCAAUGGUAGAGCGCUCGGCUGUAGACCGAGAGGUUCCCGGUUCGAAUCCGGGGGGCGGGA